This 492-nucleotide ribosomal RNA is filed under the name uncultured bacterium. Its description in RNAcentral is "partial 16S ribosomal RNA". It matches the Rfam family "Bacterial small subunit ribosomal RNA", at positions 29 to 507 of the family's 1533-position model. The record is from RNAcentral.
AGUGAACGCUGGCGGUAGGCCUAACACAUGCAAGUCGAACGGCAGCACAGUAAGAUCGUGCUCUUACGGGUGGCGAGUGGCGGACGGGUGAGGAAUACAUCGGAAUCUACUUUUUCGUGGGGGAUAACGUAGGGAAACUUACGCUAAUACCGCAUACGACCUACGGGUGAAAGCAGGGGAUCUUCGGACCUUUCGCGAUUGAAUGAGCCGAUGUCGGAUUAGCUAGUUGGCGGGGUAAAGGCCCACCAAGGCGACGAUCCGUAGCUGGUCUGAGAGGAUGAUCAGCCACACUGGAACUGAGACACGGUCCAGACUCCUACGGGAGGCAGCAGUGGGGAAUCUUGGACAAUGGGCGAAAGCCUGAUCCAGCCAUACCGCGUGGGUGAAGAAGGCCUUCGGGUUGUAAAGCCCUUUUGUUGGGAAAGAAAAGCAGCAGGUUAAUACCCCGCUGUUCUGACGGUACCCAAAGAAUAAGCACCGGCUAACUUCGUG